RNAcentral lists this ribosomal RNA (460 nucleotides) under uncultured bacterium. Its description in RNAcentral is "partial 16S ribosomal RNA". It matches the Rfam family "Bacterial small subunit ribosomal RNA", at positions 338 to 795 of the family's 1533-position model. The record is from RNAcentral.
CCUACGGGAGGCAGCAGUGAGGAAUAUUGGUCAAUGGGCGCGAGCCUGAACCAGCCAAGUAGCGUGAAGGAUGACUGCCCUACGGGUUGUAAACUUCUUUUAUAAAGGAAUAAAGUGAGGCACGUGUGCCUUUUUGUAUGUACUUUAUGAAUAAGGAUCGGCUAACUCCGUGCCAGCAGCCGCGGUAAUACGGAGGUUCCGAGCUUUAUCCGGAUUUAUUGGGUUUAAAGGGAGCGUAGAUGGAUUGUUAAGUCAGUUGUGAAAGUUUGCGGCUCAACCGGAAACUUGCAAUGCAUACUGGCGUUCUGGAGUCGGCGGAAGGUAGGCGGAAUGCGUGGUGUAGCGGUGAAAGGCUUAGAUAUGACGAAGAACCCGGAUUGCGAAGGCAGCUUAAUAAAGCGCCACUGACGUUGAUGCUCGAAAGCGCGGGUAUCAAACAGGAUUAGAUACCCGUGUAGUC